AGAUAAGAAGCCCAUGGCUGGAGGGAACCGGUCUCUUCUUUUCAUUGUCUCCUAUCAUCUAGUCCUGUGCCUGGCACAGGCAUUUGCUUUGCACCUGUCAGAUGAAUGAAUGCAUGCACAAAAAUGGCAAGGAAUACAGAUACGUGAAAAUCCUUUCAAUGUUAAAAAUCAUCUAACACGGAUCACAGGAACUGAGGAAUGGGAGCUGUUGAAAGAGUUGCCAUUAACAUUAAAUCAGCCUAUGAGGAGGCCCAGAUGGCAAGAAACUAAAGUCUCUGGCCAACAGACAGUGAGGAGGUGAAGUCUGCCAAUAACCAUGAAAGUGAACUUGCAACUAGAUCCUUCGACCUGGUCAAGUCUUGAGAUGACUACAGCACCAGCUGGCAUCUUGACUGUAACCUCUAGAGAGACCCUGAGCCAGAAACAAUCAGGGAAGUCUCCUGAAUGAGUUUAAGAUUUAAAAGAAAAAGAAAACAAGGAAAACAAAGGGAAGCCAACAAAUCUGUAAAAGGCAAGAACAGUAACAACGAUAUGGCCAAAACAAGCACUCAUGAUUAAUACAGGUGAGUCAAAUGCUCGGUUAUUUCCCUCCUGAUUGCUAGAAUUAUUUCUGAAAAAAAAUCACUGAAUCUCCUCUUUGAAGAAUUUAUAG
This is a long non-coding RNA of Neofelis nebulosa (Clouded leopard), 652 nucleotides long. RefSeq lists it as uncharacterized. The transcript is spliced from 3 exons. NCBI's taxonomy places the organism in Eukaryota, Metazoa, Chordata, Mammalia, Carnivora, Felidae. The record is from RefSeq and is a predicted model, not a curated record.